AUUGAACGCUGGCGGCGUGCUUAACACAUGCAAGUCGAUCGGUAACAGGUGUAGCAAUACAUGCUGACGAGAGGCGGACGGGUGAGGAAUAUUUGGGAAUCUGCCCAUCAGCGGGGGACAACCCGGGGAAACCCGGGCUAAUACCGCAUACGCUCUACGGAGGAAAGCCGGGGACCGCAACGCCUGGCACCGAUGGAUGAGCCCAAAUCGGAUUAGCUAGUUGGCGGGGUAAGGGCCCACCAAGGCGACGAUCCGUAGCUGGUCUGAGAGGACGAUCAGCCAGACCGGAACUGAGACACGGUCCGGACUCCUACGGGAGGCAGCAGUGGGGAAUAUUGGACAAUGGGGGAAACCCUGAUCCAGCGACGCCGCGUGGGUGAAGAAGGCCUGCGGGUUGUAAAGCCCUUUCGGUAGGGACGAAAGCUCCUGCUCUAAUAAUGCAGGAGGUUGACUUAACCUACAUAAGAAGCACCGGCUAACUCUGUGCCAGCCGCCGCAGUAA
Molecule: ribosomal RNA, 502 nt
Filed under: uncultured bacterium
Lineage: Bacteria
Description: partial 16S ribosomal RNA
Rfam family: Bacterial small subunit ribosomal RNA
Source: RNAcentral